UACGGAGGGUGCAAGCGUUAUCCGGAUUCAUUGGGUUUAAAGGGUGCGUAGGCGGAUUAUUAAGUCAGUGGUGAGAGCCUGCAGCUUAACUGUAGAAUUGCCAUUGAUACUGAUAGUCUUGAGUUUGGUUGAGGUAGGCGGAAUGAGGCAUGUAGCGGUGAAAUGCAUAGAUAUGCCUCAGAACACCAAUUGCGAAGGCAGCUUACUAAACCAAUACUGACGCUGAGGCACGAAAGCGUGGGGAGCGAACAGGAUUAGAUACCCUGGUAGUCCACGCCGUAAACGAUGAUUACUCGUUGCAGGCGAUACACUGUCUGUGACCAAGCGAAAGUGAUAAGUAGUCCACCUGGGGAGUACGGUCGCAAGAUUGAAACUCAAAGGAAUUGACGGGGGCCCGCACAAGCAGUGGAGCAUGUGGUUUAAUUCGAUGAUACGCGAGGAACCUUACCAGGGCUUAAAUGUACACUGACCUCCCGAGAAAUCGGGAUUCUCUUCGGAGCAGAGUGCAAGGUGCUGCAUGGUUGUCGUCAGCUCGUGCCGUGAGGUGUCGGGUUAAGUCCCAUAACGAGCGCAACCCUCAUCUUUAGUUGCCAGCGAGUAAUGUCGGGGACUCUAAAGAAACUGCCCGCGCAAGCGUGGAGGAAGGUGGGGAUGACGUCAAAUCAUCACGGCCCUUACGUCCUGGGCCACACACGUGCUACAAUGGUAGGUACAGAGGGCAGCCACUUGGUGACAAGGAGCGAAUCUCUAAAGCCUAUCUCAGUUCGGAUUGUAGUCUGCAACUCGACUACAUGAAGCCGGAAUUGCUAGUAAUCGCGCAUCAGCCAUGGCGCGGUGAAUACGUUCCCGGGCCU
RNAcentral lists this ribosomal RNA (854 nucleotides) under uncultured bacterium. Its description in RNAcentral is "SSU rRNA". It matches the Rfam family "Bacterial small subunit ribosomal RNA", at positions 524 to 1381 of the family's 1533-position model. The record is from RNAcentral.